RNAcentral lists this small nucleolar RNA (143 nucleotides) under Castor canadensis (American beaver). RNAcentral's name for it is "Small nucleolar RNA SNORA67 (ENSCCNG00000017382.1)". It matches the Rfam family "Small nucleolar RNA SNORA67". From Rfam's summary of the family: U67 belongs to the H/ACA class of snoRNAs which are thought to guide the sites of modification of uridines to pseudouridines. Lineage: Eukaryota; Metazoa; Chordata; Mammalia; Rodentia; Castoridae. The record is from Rfam by way of RNAcentral.
AUCCAAGGUGAUUCCCUCUCCAAGGGGCCAACUAGUGCCCCUCUCAGGAAAGUAGCAACUUGGAAGAAAAUCUGGCAUGCCUGAGGUCUUCCAGGGAAUAGGGGAUGCCCAUUUCCUUUGCCUUCCUUUGGCUGCCUACACGU